AGAUUGAACGCUGGCGGCAUGCCUUACACAUGCAAGUCGAACGGUAGAGUAGCAAUACUUGAGAGUGGCGAACGGGUGAGUAAUAUAUCGGAACGUGCCCAGUCGUGGGGGAUAACGUAGAGAAAUUUACGCUAAUACCGCAUACGAUCUAAGGAUGAAAGCGGGGGACCGUAAGGCCUCGCGCGAUUGGAGCGGCUGAUAUCAGAUUAGGUUGUUGGUGAGGUAAAAGCUCACCAAGCCGACGAUCUGUAGCUGGUUUGAGAGAACGACCAGCCACACUGGGACUGAGACACGGCCCAGACUCCUACGGGAGGCAGCAGUGGGAAUUUGGACAAUGGGACGAAAAGCCUGAUCCAGCAAAUGCCGACGUGACGAAGGAAGAAAGGGCCCUUAGGGGUUCGUAAACGUAGUCUUUUGUUAACGGAACGGAAACCGGU
RNAcentral lists this ribosomal RNA (437 nucleotides) under uncultured soil bacterium. Its description in RNAcentral is "bacterial SSU rRNA". It matches the Rfam family "Bacterial small subunit ribosomal RNA", at positions 26 to 461 of the family's 1533-position model. The record is from RNAcentral.